Molecule: ribosomal RNA, 516 nt
Filed under: Agathocles flavipes
Lineage: Eukaryota; Metazoa; Arthropoda; Insecta; Hemiptera; Pentatomidae
Description: partial large subunit ribosomal RNA
Rfam family: Bacterial large subunit ribosomal RNA
Source: RNAcentral
GUCUUAAUGUUUGUUUAUAUUAAGUUUUACCUGCUCAAUGAUUUUAUAUUAAAUAGCCGCAGUAUUUUGACUGUGCGAAGGUAGCAUAAUCAUUUGUCUUUUAAUUGAAGGCUUGUAUGAAUGGUUUGAUGAAAAAGUGACUUUCUUUAUAUUAAUGAUUGAAUUUAAUUUUUUAGUUAAAAAGCUAAAAUAAAGAAAAGGGACGAGAAGACCCUAUAGAAUUUUAUUUUAUUAUAAUUUAAUUAGUUUGGUUUAAUUUACUAUUUAAAAAUUAAAUAAAAUUUUGUUGGGGUGACAGUGAGAAAUUUUUAACUCUCAUAUUUAGUAUUUAUAUUAAUUAAUAUAUUUUUAGAUCCUAUUUUAAGGAUAAUUAGAUUAAAUUACCUUAGGGAUAACAGCGUAAUUUUUUCGGAGAGUUCUUAUUGAUGAAAUAGUUUGCGACCUCGAUGUUGGAUUAAAAUUAGAUUUAAGUGCAGCAGCUUAUUUUCUGGGUCUGUUCGACCUUUAAAAUUUUAC